AUCCUUGCGCUGAGGCAAUAUCAUAGCUUAUGAAGUUUAUCUGAGGCGUGAUCAUUGCUAGUUGAAAACUUUACCCAAUACCCCGUCUAGAUGACUUGAAAAAUAGUCAGCUAUGGCAAUUUUUGGUGGUCUCUGAGGAGA
Molecule: small nuclear RNA, 141 nt
Organism: Neoarius graeffei (lesser salmon catfish)
Lineage: Eukaryota; Metazoa; Chordata; Actinopteri; Siluriformes; Ariidae
Product: U4 spliceosomal RNA
Exons: 1
Source: RefSeq, a predicted model, not a curated record